Molecule: ribosomal RNA, 445 nt
Filed under: uncultured bacterium
Lineage: Bacteria
Description: partial 16S ribosomal RNA
Rfam family: Bacterial small subunit ribosomal RNA
Source: RNAcentral
GUGGGGAAUUUUGGACAAUGGGCGAAAGCCUGAUCCAGCAAUGCCGCGUGCAGGAUGAAGGCGCUACGCGUUGUAAACUGCUUUUAACCGGGAAGAAACCCCAGGACGUGUCCUGGGUUGACGGUACCGGAGGAAUAAGCACCGGCUAACUUCGUGCCAGCAGCCGCGGUAAUACGAAGGGUGCAAGCGUUAUCCGGAUUCAUUGGGAUUAAAGGGUGCGUAGGCGGAGCGUUAAGUCAGUGGUGAAAUCCUGCAGCUUAACUGUAGACUUGCCAUUGAUACUGGCGCUCUUGAGUGCGCUUGAAGUGGGCGGAAUGUGCCGUGUAGCGGUGAAAUGCUUAGAUAUGGCACAGAACACCAAUUGCGAAGGCAGCUCACUAAGGCGAUACUGACGCUGAGGCACGAAAGCGUGGGGAUCGAACAGGAUUAGAAACCCCGGUAGUCC